This 73-nucleotide transfer RNA is filed under the name Gallus gallus (chicken). RNAcentral's name for it is "tRNA-Tyr (GTA) (tRNA-Tyr-GTA-8-1)". It matches the Rfam family "tRNA". Rfam says of the family: Transfer RNA (tRNA) molecules are approximately 80 nucleotides in length. Their secondary structure includes four short double-helical elements and three loops (D, anti-codon, and T loops). Further hydrogen bonds mediate the characteristic L-shaped molecular structure. tRNAs have two regions of fundamental functional importance: the anti-codon, which is responsible for specific mRNA codon recognition, and the 3' end, to which the tRNAs corresponding amino acid is attached (by aminoacyl-tRNA synthetases). tRNAs cope with the degeneracy of the genetic code in two manners: having more than one tRNA (with a specific anti-codon) for a particular amino acid; and 'wobble' base-pairing, i.e. permitting non-standard base-pairing at the 3rd anti-codon position. The record is from RNAcentral. Lineage: Eukaryota; Metazoa; Chordata; Aves; Galliformes; Phasianidae.
CCUUCGAUAGCUCAGCUGGUAGAGCGGAGGACUGUAGAUCCUUAGGUCGCUGGUUCAACUCUGGCUCAAAGGA